Long non-coding RNA from Homo sapiens (human), 762 nucleotides. Ensembl annotates it as ribosomal protein L23a pseudogene 7. Its record names the gene RPL23AP7. The record is from Ensembl. Lineage: Eukaryota; Metazoa; Chordata; Mammalia; Primates; Hominidae.
AGCGCGGCGCCUGGCGGGAGGGCCGCAGGGAGUGCGCAUGCGGCCGAGUGCGGGACUGGGGCUCCUGGCUGUGGGUGUGGUACCGAGGCUUCAGCGGGUGCCGCCCGCCUAGAGGGAGUGGAGCGAGAGCCUACGACUAGAUUUGCAUCUUUACGUCCUGCGCGGAGGCUGCUACACACAUGCAGAAGUCAUGCUGGUGGCCUGGACAGUGAAGGGAGAGAAGUGGAUUUGGGAGACAUUUAGGAGGAACAGUAAGAGGACCUUGUGCAUGAAUAAUUUGUUUCCACACUACAGAGUGGCAGAAGAAUCCCAGACUUCUUAGAGAACCCAGUGACUUUUUGCACCUUAAAUCUGUGAAAUCCUCAUGUUUUCUUCUGCCGUAUCCAUAGUUCAAACAAAGAUGAGGCAAAGCUAGAUGCAUUCCUGAAGGAACCCAAGAAAUUCCUCUCUUUAUUUCUCUGGAAUGAAAUGAAUUCUCUAGACCACCAGUUCUAACCUUCAAAAACCAAACCUGUUUGUGAGAUCUCCUUCAAAUACUACUGUAGACCCCAGUGUUUAUUCAUUAAAUUUUUAAAAUAUUUGUUUUAUUUGGAAUCCAUGUAUUUGUAAUUUUAGUGUUUGUAUUAAUAUAAGGGAGAAAUGUUUAAAUCUGUCUAUGCCAUAUGUGCCUCUGGCUUAUUGCCCAAUUAAUUGUAGACUCAGGCUAAACUUUGGUUUCUGUCUUUAAUUUUUGUCAGAAGAAAUAUAACUGAUCUCAAAACA